RNAcentral lists this long non-coding RNA (203 nucleotides) under Elaeis guineensis (African oil palm). Its description in RNAcentral is "long non-coding RNA (EGUI_LNC060658)". Lineage: Eukaryota; Viridiplantae; Streptophyta; Magnoliopsida; Arecales; Arecaceae. The record is from RNAcentral.
UUGGUUUGGAUUUAAAUAAAAAAAUCUAGAACCCAUAUUGUUGAGUUUCAGUAAUACAACAGAAUAUAAAUUUCAAAAAAAUUUUAUAAGCAUUCAACAAUUAAAAAUAAGGUUUAACAAUUAAACUAGAGUACCAAAAUUCAAAAGCCUUAGAAAUACCUUGAUGAUUGCAAUCAAAUAUUAUAAGCAUGUAUAACAAGAGA